AAACACUGAGCAAAGAGAUACGAGAUAUAAAACUUAAACAAGAAGAGAUGCAAAAUACAAUAACUGAAAUAAAAAAUUCAUUAGAAGCAGCCAACAGCAGAUCACAGGAGGCAGAACAACAAGUAAGCGAGGUGGAGGACAUAUUAGUGGAAAUUACAGAUGCGGAACAGAAAAGAGAAAAAAGAUUGAAAACCAUUGAAGAGAGUCUCAGAGAACUCUGGGACAACAUUAAAUGCACCAACAUCCAUUAUUAAUGGGGUGCCAGAAGGAGAAGAGAGAGAAAAGGGGACAGAAAAAAAUAUUCCAAGAGAUAAUAGACAAAAACUUCCCUAACAUGGGAAAGGAACCACUCACUCAAAUCCAGGAAGCACAACGAGUACCGUAUAAAAUAAACCCAAGGAGGAAGACCCCAAGACACAUAUUAAUCAAACUGACCAAAAUUAAAGACAAAGAGAAACUACUGAAAGCAGCUAGGGAAUAGAAACAAAUAACACACAGGGAACCCCAAUAAAGUUAUCAAAAGAUUUUUCAGCAGAAACUCUGCAGGCCAGAAGGGAGUGGCAUGAUAUACUUAACGUGAAGAAAGGAAAAAAACCUCCAACCAAAAUUACUUUACCCAGCAAGGCUCUCAUUCAUAUUUGAAGGAGAAAUCAAAAGCUUUACAGAUAAGCAAAAGCUGAGAGAAUUCAGCAACACUAAACCAGCUUUACAACAAAUACUAAAGGAACUUCCUCUAUGCCAAAAAGAAAAGUCUACAACCAGAAACAAAAAUACCGCAAAUGACAAAGCUCACCAGUAAAGGAAUAUAUAAAGAUAGGAAAUCACCUAUGCACAAUUAUGCUACCAAAACCAGAAAUCAUGAUAAGACGAGGGUACGAAUGCAGGACACUGGAGAUGCACUUGCAAAUAAGAGACCACAAACUUAAAACAAUCUCAUAUAUAUAUAUAGACUCUCAUAUCAAAACUUCAGAGUAAUGGCAAACCAAAAAUCUACAACUGAUACACAAACAAAUAAGAAAAAUCAACUCAAAUACAACACUAAAGAUAGUCAUCAAACCAGAAGAGG
Molecule: long non-coding RNA, 1066 nt
Filed under: Sus scrofa (pig)
Lineage: Eukaryota; Metazoa; Chordata; Mammalia; Artiodactyla; Suidae
Description: lncRNA (ENSSSCG00040015924.1)
Source: RNAcentral